GGAUAGCCCGGAGAAAUCCGGAUUAAUACCGCAUAAUCUCUACGGAGGAAAAGGGGCCUCUCCUUGGAAGCUCUUGCUAUUAGAUGAGCCCGCGUUAGAUUAGCUAGUUGGUGAGGUAAUGGCUCACCAAGGCAACGAUCUAUAGCUGGUUUGAGAGGAUGAUCAGCCACACUGAGACUGAGACACGGCCCAGACUCCUACGGGAGGCAGCAGUGGGGAAUAUUGGACAAUGGGCGCAAGCCUGAUCCAGCAAUACUGCGUGUGUGAAGAAGGCCUUCGGGUUGUAAAGCUCUUUCGCAAGAGAAGAAACGGUAUAGGUUAAUAGCCUAUGCUAAUGACGGUAUCUUGACAAGAAGCACCGGCUAACUACGUGCCAGCAGCCGCGGUAAUACGUAGGGUGCAAGCGUUAAUCGGAAUUACUGGGCGUAAAGCGCGCGUAGGCGGUUUGUUAAGUCGGAUGUGAAAGCCCUGGGCUCAACCUGGGAACUGCAUUCGAUACUGAUCGACUAGAGUACGAGAGAGGGAGGUAGAAUUCCACGUGUAGCGGUGAAAUGCGUAGAUAUGUGGAGGAAUACCGGUGGCGAAGGCGGCCUCCUGGCUCGAUACUGACGCUGAGGUGCGAAAGCGUGGGUAGCAAACAGGAUUAGAUACUCUGGUAGUCCACGCAGUAAACGGUGAACACUAGGUGUAGCGGGUAUUGACCCCUGCUGUGCCGCAGCUAACGCAUUAAGUGUUCCGCCUGGGGAGUACGGUCGCAAGAUUAAAACUCAA
RNAcentral lists this ribosomal RNA (771 nucleotides) under uncultured Gammaproteobacteria bacterium. Its description in RNAcentral is "bacterial SSU rRNA". It matches the Rfam family "Bacterial small subunit ribosomal RNA", at positions 141 to 904 of the family's 1533-position model. Lineage: Bacteria; Pseudomonadati; Pseudomonadota; Gammaproteobacteria. The record is from RNAcentral.